AUUGGUGGUUUCUGGAUCCUUCCUCCAGGAUUUUCAGCACUGGGGAGCUCUCCUUUCUGCAGUGUGGAGGAGCGCUGGGCAGGAGGCAGCGCUGAGGUCAAAGACCAAGGGCAGAGGUCAUCGAGAGGUCAAGUCUAAUCUACCUAUGGAUGUGGCAGCCUUAACUAUGGAUGUUCAAGCCAGACAUUGCCAGCAGAGCCACAUCUCAUCACCCACAGGCAAAAGGAAGAGAGUUUCCAUGCAGGCCGCGGUGAUUGAUCCUGAUUACCAAGAGGAAACUGGACUGCUGCUCCACAAUGGAGGUAAGGAAUA
Molecule: long non-coding RNA, 312 nt
Organism: Diceros bicornis minor
Lineage: Eukaryota; Metazoa; Chordata; Mammalia; Perissodactyla; Rhinocerotidae
Exons: 3
Source: RefSeq, a predicted model, not a curated record